RNAcentral lists this ribosomal RNA (448 nucleotides) under uncultured bacterium. Its description in RNAcentral is "bacterial SSU rRNA". It matches the Rfam family "Bacterial small subunit ribosomal RNA", at positions 29 to 523 of the family's 1533-position model. The record is from RNAcentral.
AACGAACGCUGGCGGCAGGCUUAACACAUGCAAGUCGAACGGAUCCUUCGGGAUCAGUGGCGGACGGGUGAGUAACGCGUGGGAACCUACCCUGGGGUGGGGAAUAACCUUGGGAAACUGAGGCUAAUACCGCAUACGCCUAUUGGGGAAAGACUAUGUUGCCCUGGGAUGGGCCCGCGUCCGAUUAGCUAGUUGGUGGGGUAAUGGCCUACCAAGGCUGCGAUCGGUAGCUGGUCUGAGAGGAUGAUCAGCCACACUGGGACUGAGACACGGCCCAGACUCCUACGGGAGGCAGCAGUGGGGAAUAUUGGACAAUGGGGGGCAACCCUGAUCCAGCCAUGCCGCGUGAGUGAAGAAGGCCUUAGGGUUGUAAAGCUCUUUCACCCGUGACGAUGAUGACGGUAGCGGAGAAGAAGCCCGGCUAAUUCCGUGCCAGCAGCCGCGGUAU